GCUGCAAAUAGCUGACAUUCCAUCACCAGAUCUCAAAGAUAAGACCAGACAAGACCGAUGCUCUUCACAGCUUAGUGAUUACAGUGAACUUUGACCUGCAUGGGACUUGCACCUGUACACAGGCAAAAUGGCGGAAGCAGAUGGUAAUAUGACGUCACCCCGGAAGUGAAAAUGUGAAAUGAAACGACAGAGGGGCCGUGUCAACAUUCAAUUAAGAUUAAUCAAAGUACUGAAAGCACUAAAAGGAAGAAAUAACAUUUCGAGAUGAGAUAAGAAAAUAGGAAUUAAUUUUGACUGAAUAUAUGUUAACUAUACAUUCUCAACAGAUAGCCUACAUUUAUAACAUUCUCGCAUUUCGCAAAUUAAAUAUUUAUAAAUAUAUAUUUGAGUCCUUUUGUUAAAUUAAUCAGUUUAUUCAUACUCAAAACUCAGGAUAUAGGCCUACCCAUUUUGUUGAUUUAUUUCAAUUUUGAUACUACUUUACGCUUUGUUAUUUUUUAUGACUUGUUAUUUGUUAUCAAAUACAAUAUCAUUAACUAAAUAUCACUAACUGAAUAAACUAGAAACUC
Molecule: long non-coding RNA, 569 nt
Organism: Ostrea edulis (European flat oyster)
Lineage: Eukaryota; Metazoa; Mollusca; Bivalvia; Ostreida; Ostreidae
Exons: 2
Source: RefSeq, a predicted model, not a curated record